Molecule: unclassified non-coding RNA, 253 nt
Filed under: uncultured Halomonadaceae bacterium
Lineage: Bacteria; Pseudomonadati; Pseudomonadota; Gammaproteobacteria; Oceanospirillales; Halomonadaceae
Description: contains 16S-23S intergenic spacer region
Rfam family: Bacterial small subunit ribosomal RNA
Source: RNAcentral
UACGGAGGGUGCAAGCGUUACUCGGAAUUACUGGGCGUAAAGCGCGCGUAGGUGGCUUGUUAAGCCUGUCGUGAAAGCCCCGGGCUCAACCUGGGAACGGCAUCCGGAACUGUCCAGCUAGAGUGCAGGAGAGGAAGGUAGAAUUCCCGGUGUAGCGGUGAAAUGCGUAGGGAUCGGGAGGAAUGCCAGUGGCGAAGGCGGCCUUCUGGACUGAUACUGACACUGAGGUGCGAAAGCGUGGGUAGCAAGCAGG